GAUGAACGCUAGCGGGAGGCUUAACACAUGCAAGUCGAGGGGCAGCAUAGGGUAGCAAUACUCUGAUGGCGACCGGCAAACGGGUGAGUAACGCGUAUGCAACCUACCCUGUACAGGGGGAUAACCCGGAGAAAUUCGGACUAAUAUCCCGUAAUAAUAUCCGGAGGCAUCUUUGGAUAUUUAAAGUUCCGACGGUACGGGAUGGGCAUGCGUAACAUUAGCUGGUUGGUAAGGUAACGGCUUACCAAGGCUAUGAUGUUUAGGGGUCCUGAGAGGGUGGUCCCCCACACUGGUACUGAGACACGGACCAGAUUCCUACGGGAGGCAGCAGUGAGGAAUAUUGGUCAAUGGGCGCAAGCCUGAACCAGCCAUCCCGCGUGCAGGAAGACGGCCCUAUGGGUUGUAAACUGCUUUUCCAGGGAGAGAAACUUACGCACGUGUUGCGUGACUGACGGUACCCUGGGAAUAAGCAUCGGCUAACUCCGUGCCAGCAGCCGCGGUAAUCA
This 506-nucleotide ribosomal RNA is filed under the name uncultured bacterium. Its description in RNAcentral is "bacterial SSU rRNA". It matches the Rfam family "Bacterial small subunit ribosomal RNA", at positions 28 to 525 of the family's 1533-position model. The record is from RNAcentral.